CUUCUUUUAGCCACUCAGGGACGACUUCUAAAUCUGUUUCCACCGUCCUGGCACUGACAUUUUUGAAGCAAAUCAUCAACUCUCUCGCAUCUCCAUUUUGUUUGACAGCCGGCAAGACAGCCGAAGCACUGUGACAAAUUACUAACAUCAGAAAUCCCAUCAAGGAAUAUUGUGAAAAAUAGAAACUCUGCAACUACGUCGUUCAGAGCCCCCGACAUCACGGCUGCAAGUAGCAUCAAUCACAGACCUUGCCAGAUAUGAUCAGACAGUCUCUGAAACACCUUUGCACUCUCCAGAAGUGUUGUUAGCUACACACCGUACUUAUGAACUCCUCCUUGGAGCUGCCUUUCCAAAAACACUGCUGCAAGAGGGAAGCAGUAGAAAUGGUGUUUUCGGACUAACAGCAAGGGAAAGAUUCAGGAAGUUCUGCUGUGCUCCCUUUCAGGUGGAUGAGGCCAUACUGGAAACGCGGAACUGGAACGCGCCAUGCGAGCGCUGCCCCGUCUCCUUUAGGCUGUACUCGUGCAGUGAGAAGAGCUGACUUGCUGCACAGAUGAAAGGAGGAAGUAAACAGGAGCAACAAAUCCGUGCUCAAGGCAGCACCUCGUCAUCCGAUGCUCGGGCUCACCGAGGGGCCAGCCGCGGGUUAGCGCCGUCGUGCUCGGCUCUGGAAAACAAGCCGUGACGGACAGCUCCUGUGCCCUGACACCCAAUCUCUGCACUCAACUGCAGAAAAUCAAAACAUUCAGCGCAAGCAGAGGCGCUCGGGUCACACGACAGCUGGCCAGGAUCCAGCUCCUCUCCCUAUGCUCUUUGGGCUGGGUAAACUUGCUUAGAUUUUUCUUUUAAUGUAACUUUACUCCAAUUUUGCUUUAACUUGUAUGUCAAGAUGAAAGGUUUUUUUUUUUCAGGAUUAUAGUUAUUUCACGCUAACCUGGAGACCCAAGAAAUUGGAAUGGAACUCCUAAAACAUGCUGUAGCUUUAUGUGACAGGUACAAAACCAGAGCUAUUGGUGAUCUGAACUAUAAUUACAGGAAUACACACAAAACAGGCCUGAAAGGGGCCUCAGCAUAGCCACAUAGUCCAUUCCUCUGCUUCAUGACAGGAACAUUUUAACCUAGACCGCUCCUGAGAGGGAUUUGUCUAACCUAUUUUAGAAACCUCCUCAAAAAGCCUACUGAAGAGGGCUAGCUAUUCAAAUUACAGCUCUACAGCCUUUCAAGUGGAUAGUUUCUCCUAAAUCUCCUUGCAAUUUAAACACACUAAUGCUUGUCCAAUAGAGACUGGUCGUGCAGAAAAGUAUGCUACCUUCCUGGUUUUCGCAAUGUUUUGAGGACUAUUAUCUUGUCUGUUAGUUAUCCUUUCUCCUUUCAGAUAUCCUUUCCUCAAAGGACGACCUUACAGCAAUCAAUACUCCUGUCAAAAGUGAGCUGCGCCACUGAAAAGCCUGCUUAUUCCAUCUCCAUGGAGCCAGCACGGCCCCCGGAGCUGCAGGCACUAAAGCAAUACUAGUCUUUACACAAGACAGUACAUAUCACGA
Molecule: long non-coding RNA, 1541 nt
Filed under: Struthio camelus australis
Lineage: Eukaryota; Metazoa; Chordata; Aves; Struthioniformes; Struthionidae
Description: lncRNA (ENSSCUG00000011028.1)
Source: RNAcentral